GUGGGGAAUUUUGGACAAUGGGGGCAACCCUGAUCCAGCCAUUCCGCGUGAGUGAAGAAGGCCUUCGGGUUGUAAAGCUCUUUCGGCAGGAACGAAACGGUCCGCUCUAACAUAGCGGGCUACUGACGGUACCUGAAGAAGAAGCACCGGCUAACUACGUGCCAGCAGCCGCGGUAAUACGUAGGGUGCGAGCGUUAAUCGGAAUUACUGGGCGUAAAGCGUGCGCAGGCGGCUUUUUAAGCCAGAUGUGAAAUCCCCGGGCUUAACCUGGGAACUGCAUUUGGAACUGGAAGGCUAGAGUGCGGCAGAGGGGGGUAGAAUUCCACGUGUAGCAGUGAAAUGCGUAGAGAUGUGGAGGAAUACCGAUGGCGAAGGCAGCCCCCUGGGUCGACACUGACGCUCAUGCACGAAAGCGUGGGGAGCAAACAGGAUUAGAAACCCCAGUAGUCC
This 450-nucleotide ribosomal RNA is filed under the name uncultured bacterium. Its description in RNAcentral is "bacterial SSU rRNA". It matches the Rfam family "Bacterial small subunit ribosomal RNA", at positions 354 to 796 of the family's 1533-position model. The record is from RNAcentral.